Molecule: non-coding RNA, 71 nt
Organism: Potamilus streckersoni
Lineage: Eukaryota; Metazoa; Mollusca; Bivalvia; Unionida; Unionidae
Source: the annotation of a GenBank genome assembly
GACGCUGGCCUAGUGGUUUGAGCAUCCUCCUCUGAUGCGGGAGGUUGUGGGUUCGAACCCCAGCCGAGUCA